GUUCCUACGGGACGCAGCAGUGAGGAAUAUUGGUCAAUGGACGAAAGUCUGAACCAGCCAUGCCGCGUGCAGGAAGACGGCUCUAUGAGUUGUAAACUGCUUUUGUACAAGGGUAAACCUGAAUACGUGUAUUCAGCUGAAAGUACUGUACGAAUAAGGAUCGGCUAACUCCGUGCCAGCAGCCGCGGUAAUACGGAGGAUGCGAGCGUUAUCCGGAUUUAUUGGGUUUAAAGGGUGCGUAGGCGGGUUAUUAAGUCAGCGGUAAAAUCGUGGAGCUCAACUCCAUCCAGCCGUUGAAACUGAUG
This 305-nucleotide ribosomal RNA is filed under the name uncultured bacterium. Its description in RNAcentral is "bacterial SSU rRNA". It matches the Rfam family "Bacterial small subunit ribosomal RNA", at positions 335 to 638 of the family's 1533-position model. The record is from RNAcentral.